Molecule: long non-coding RNA, 2050 nt
Organism: Dendrobium catenatum
Lineage: Eukaryota; Viridiplantae; Streptophyta; Magnoliopsida; Asparagales; Orchidaceae
Exons: 3
Source: RefSeq, a predicted model, not a curated record
UCAAUUUAUUGUUGUAAAUUAGCAUCCAAUUGGCAUGUCCACUAAGUUUCCUAUUCAAUGCAUUAGCCACCACAUUGGACUGUAUUGGAUAUCAAGAUCAUAAUCCUUGAUUAAUUCUAAUCAUCUUUGUUUCCUCAAAUUUAAGUCCUUAUUCAAAUUUAAUUCCUUAUUAUAAAAAUAUAUUUUAAAUUUUUGUGAUCAAUAAAUAUUUCACACCUCACACUAUAUAAAUAAUGCCUCUAGAUUUUCAAAGCUAACACUAUUGUAGCCAACUCUAGGUCAUGUGCUGGACAAUUCUUCAUCAUUAGUGUUGAUAUUAAGCUCUAUUAAACUAUGAAACAAGAUAAUAAUGUAGUUGGGCAGAAGUACAAGUAUGUAAGAAUAUAAAUUUUUUUGGAUCCUUAAAAAACAUAAAAAUAAGAAUAUCCUUAAAAUCUCUAGCAAGGCCAAUACAAGCCACGAAAUAUGGAUUCCUUCUGAGAUAACCCUUCAUAUAUAACUUUAUUACUCCUUUAUCGUGUUUACUCAUUACAUCAAUUUAAAACUAGCACCCACCUCAAAGGUAAAAUGUUGUAAAAAAAAUUGAUUUACUCAUUUAAGAGGAAAAAUUGAAUAUAUCUAUACUACUGUAAAAUGUGAAUUGUAAUUCUGCCAGUAAGCGAUCCUCAUUUUUUUUUUAAUUAAAAUUAAUCUGCACUGUUUGAUUUUGUGCCUCUUCAUAUUCCUCUCCCGUCUUCCCAUUUCUUUCUUCGACUUCGAGUGAGGAAUUUUGAAACCAUUUCUUUUUUCAGCUUCGCAUGAGGAGUUUUGAAAGAGUCCCUAAAAGGACCUUCUUGGCCUUCUCCUCUCUGAUAGGAAGUCAGGCUUCAUGUCAGGAGUUUUGAUAGAGUCGGUAAAAGGACUUUCUUCUCCUUCUCCUUUUGGAUUGGAGGUUACGAUGGAUUCCUCCUCUCAUGGUGGGAAGGAGAUAACAAACUGAGUUGUUGAAAUCGAAAGUCAUGACGGGAUUGGAAGUCACGAUGAGAAUUCGCUGAGAAGGUAAAGAUUGUUUUCUCCUUGAAUGCUUUUUCAGGAUUGUAAAUUCUAUGUUUUUUUUUUUAAUUCAUUGAAACGCUUAAUUAAUUACUAUUCGGUGAUACUUAAGCUAAAUCUUUCUUAAAUCCUACUACCAAACAACAUUAAUUUGUUACAAUUCGGAGAAGAGGUGUUUUGUGUGGCAUUUCUUGGUGUGGUGGUGAUGAUAUCUUCACUUAGGACUGCAACUUCGAUACGAGUAUAUCAGAAAUGGGCACAAUCGUAAGCCUUGCAACAACCACCUGAUUAUUUAUUUACUUAUUUAUUAGUUCAUGUAAAUUAUAUAAAAAAGCUUGAAGUGUUUUUUUUCCUUGUGUGAACUAUAUCUUUAGUCAAGCGAGAAAGAAGUUUGGACUUCCUGAGAAGCACAACGAUUAUGUGGUGAGAGCUAAGUCAUUCCAUAAUAAAGAAGAGACUCUUCAUAUACUUGGAGAGUAAGCCAUGUCCAGGAACCCAGAUGAGUUAUAUUUCAAGAUGAUAAGUUUGAGAGUGAUUGAUGGAGCACAUAAACCAAAGAGUCAAGCAAAUAAGUAUAGCCACGAUGAACAACCCAUGCUGAUGAGGACUUAAGGUAUUGGAUAUGUCAUUCAAAAACUUUAGACUGAGAAUAAGGUUAGUAUUAGGGUAACACUCUUUUUCUAGCUAGAUGAAACACUGUCAUUUCAAUUGCUUAUUUCUUUCUUUCUUCUUUUACAUAGGUUGCAUUUGCUUUGGAGAAAAUUGAUAAGAAAUAUUUUUUAAAUCACAGUUAAAUUUGAUCAUUUUGAUUUAAUUGUGAUACAUAAAAAAUUGAUUUUAUGAAUGAAAUUCUAACUUAUGUGUUUCUUAUGUGCUUUUGCUGAAACCCAAGGAAAAACUAAAGUAAAACCCGAAGCCUGAAUUAAAUGGUUAUUCACUUUCUCCUCCAAACAAAUGUGAAAAGCUAUUUUCAAUUCAUGUUCUUUAAUAUCUCCUUUUCCAUUUCAUUUUUAUUUCC